CAGUGACAGUCACGGACUCGGCCUCCCUUGAUGAGCUGCUGCGAGUUGACAUCGGCACUCUGGACCUGGCCAGCAGCCGCCUGGACUCAGCCAUGGCUGUGUGCUUUGGCCCUGCAGCUCUGGGCCACCUGCUGGUGUCCACCUCGUCCAACAGAGUCGUGGUGCUGGAUGCUGUGUCGGGCCGCAUCAUCCGGGAGCUGCCCGGUGUCCACCCUGAGCCCUGUCCCUCCUUGACGCUCAGUGAGGACGCCCGCUUCCUGCUGAUUGCCGCCGGCCGGACCAUCAAGGUGUGGGACUACACGACACAGGCCAGCCCAGGCCCCCAGGUGUACAUCGGCCACUCGGAACCCGUGCAGGCUGUGGCUUUCUCUCCUGACCAGCAGCAGGUCCUCAGCGCAGGGGACGCCGUCUUCCUCUGGGAUGUCCUGGCCACUACUGAGAGGCAAGUGCCUACUCUCAGCUUUGUCUGCCUAGGCCCCCCAGGCCCUCCUGAAACCCUCUCUCCUCCCUCUCCAGCAACCAAAGCUUCCCCGUGGCCCCCCAAGCCUGUGAGGCAGGCUCGGGCAUAGGACCACUGGAGGACGCAUCGUCCAGGGCCAGCGAGCUCCCCCAGCAGCAGGUCCCCAAGCCAUCUCAGGCAUCUCUACCACGGCUGGGCAUCUGUGCCAGGCCUCCCGAAGGUGGCGAUGGUGUCAGGGACACCAGGAAUUCGGGGGCCCCACGCACCACCUGCCUGGCUUCCUACAAGGCCUUCACGCCUGCCAGGGUCAGCUGCAGCCCCCACUCUGCCAAGGGCACUUGCCUGCCUCCCGCCAGCGGUGGGUGGCUGCGUCUGAAGGCUGUCGUUGGCUACAGUGGGAAUGGGCGGGCCAACAUGGUCUGGAGGCCGGACACAGGCUUCUUUGCCUACACCUGCGGCCGCCUGGUGGUGGUGGAGGACCUGCACUCUGGCGCCCAGCAGCACUGGUCCGGCCACUCUGCGGAGGUCUCCACGCUGGCCCUCAGCCACAGUGCCCAGGUCCUGGCCUCUGCCUCAGGCUGCAGCAGCACGACCGCCCAUUGUCAGAUCCGCGUCUGGGAUGUGUCUGGCGGCCUCUGCCAGCAUCUUAUUUCCCACCAUAGCACCACCGUGCUGGCCCUGGCCUUCUCUCCAGAUGACAGGCUUCUUGUCACAUUGGGGGACCACGAUGGCCGCACCCUCGCCCUGUGGGGCACGACCACCUAUGACCUCGUUUCCUCCACCCGCCUCCCGGAGCCGGUGCAUGGCGUGGCCUUCAACCCCUGGGACGCCGGCGAGCUCACCUGUGUGGGCCAGGGCACUGUCACCUUCCGGCUCCUGCAGCAGCGUGGGGCAGACAUCAGCCUUCAGGUGCGUCGAGAGCCGGUCCCAGAGGCAGUGGGGGCUGGAGAGCUGACCUCGCUCUGUUAUGGGGCACCCCCCCUGCUCUAUUGUGGCACCAGCUCUGGCCAGGUCUGUGUCUGGGACACGCGUGCCGGCCGCUGCUUCCUGUCCUGGGAGGCAGAUGACGGUGGCAUUGGACUGUUGCUGUUCUCAGGCUCUCGAUUGGUCAGCGGCAGCAGCGUGGGACGGCUGCGCCUGUGGGCCGUGGGGGCUGUGUCGGAGCUGAGGUGCAAGGGCUCAGGCGCCAGGUCCAGUUCGGUGUUCAUGGAACACGAGCUGGUGCUGGACGGGGCUGUGGUGAGUGCUAGCUUCGAUGACAGCGUGGACAUGGGCGUUGUGGGCACCACGGCGGGCACGCUCUGGUUUGUCAGCUGGGCCGAGGGCACCAGCACGCGUCUCAUCAGUGGCCACAGGAGCAAGGUGAGGGACUUCCAGCCUGGACGGAGGCAGGGCAGCCAAACCUGGUGCCCUCCCUGCCUGCCGGCUCCAUCUCCACCAGCCCAGAUUAUUCCAAGUCCUGCUGUCACUGGCUCGCAGCGGCCGCCUUGGGGUUCCCAGCGGGGAGGUCUUGGGUGUGCACGUCCCUCAAAGCCGUCCCGGUUGUGUCUGCACCAGGGAGCCGCCUGGCAGGCCUUGCAGGUCUUCUCAAACCGUCCUUUCCCUGCUAUUGCUUUGCGUUUUUUGUUUGUUUUUUGUUUUUUGUAAUUGUCAAACAAACCACAUCAGUCCGGGCGUGGUGGUUCAUGCCUGUAAUCCCAGCACUCUGGGAGGCCGAGGCAGGUGGAUCACCUGAGGUCAGGAGUUCGAGACCAGCCUGGUCAACAUGGUGAAAUCCCAUCUCUACUAAAGAUACAAAAAUUAGCCGGGCCUCUUGAUGUAUACCUGUAAUCCCAGCUACUCUGGAGGCUGAGAGAAGAAAAUCACUUGAACCCAGGAGGCAGAGGUUGCAGUGAACCAAGAUCGCACCACUGCACUCCAGCCUGGGCGACAGAGCGAGACUCCAUCUCAAAGG
Molecule: small RNA, 2414 nt
Filed under: Pongo abelii (Sumatran orangutan)
Lineage: Eukaryota; Metazoa; Chordata; Mammalia; Primates; Hominidae
Description: retained intron
Source: RNAcentral